Molecule: unclassified non-coding RNA, 133 nt
Filed under: soil metagenome
Description: partial internal transcribed spacer 1
Source: RNAcentral
UUGAGUAUGUUAGCUUAUGCUACCAUGAACUUUGUGAACUGUUACCGUCCACUUGGCGGCCGAAAGGCUGUCAUAAUGGGCCACUUACUUAAUUUACUAAUAACUUUUUAUACCAGCAAUAAGCUAUAUAAGA